Molecule: long non-coding RNA, 485 nt
Organism: Oncorhynchus kisutch (coho salmon)
Lineage: Eukaryota; Metazoa; Chordata; Actinopteri; Salmoniformes; Salmonidae
Exons: 2
Source: RefSeq, a predicted model, not a curated record
AAAAACGGAAAGCGAAAGCGAAAGCAAAAAAAGGAUGCAGCAGAGGCGAGUGCUAUUUCAGGCCGGAGGGGGCCUCCGUCCAAGAGAAUUGAUCCUCUCUCCCAGAAGAUUUGAGAGAUGGUUCCCCAGCAGUUUGCCCCUCUCCUUAACCCUUAUGAUGACGACGGACAACUCGGCCCACCGAUAUUUAGUAAACAUAAAUAACUGGGACUCCUGAAACAACCAGCAAACCAGGCUGUUUAAUGUGAAUCAGUGGAUGUAAAGAAUCUAGCUAGCUAAAGCAUUUACUGCAAAUUGAAUGUACAUGUUUGGAAGCUUGCCUUGCUGAUAUUUGCCAUGCAAUGCAGAAAGAUGAAGUAACGUAGUUGUGUUCUUGCUUAUUGUGCAGUGGAGGAUACAAAUACCUGUAUUGUAACCUGUACAUUUAAUAUAUUCACUGAUCAUGUACUCUACCUUGGCAAAUAAAGGUGCAGUUCAGGUAUGAA